RNAcentral lists this unclassified non-coding RNA (569 nucleotides) under Stegodyphus lineatus. RNAcentral's name for it is "partial contains 16S ribosomal RNA and tRNA-Leu". The stretch from base 159 to 459 matches the Rfam family "Archaeal large subunit ribosomal RNA", at positions 2151 to 2715 of the family's 2987-position model. Lineage: Eukaryota; Metazoa; Arthropoda; Arachnida; Araneae; Eresidae. The record is from RNAcentral.
GCUCAAUGAAUUUUUAAAUAGCCGCAGAAUUUCUGUGCUAAGGUAGCAUAAUCAUUUGCCUUCUAAUUUAAGGCUUGCAUGAAAGAUUUAACAUCUUAUUUUCUUUAUUAAAUUUACAUUUUAAACUUAUCUUAAAUAUUAAAAGAUAUUUAUAUUAUAGAAAGACGACAAGACCCUAUUGAACUUAACUUUAGUUUAGCUGGGGCAGCUAAUUAAAAAUAAUUUUAAUUUUAUUUAUUCUUUAAAUUGACCUAGUACAACUAAUCAUUUGAUCAAGUUACCAUAGGGAUAACAGCACAAUAUUUUACUAAAGCUCUUAUUUAAUAAAAAGUUUGUGACCUCGAUGUUGAAUUAAUAUUCUUCUUCGUGCAACCACCUUGAUAGAAAGUCUGUUCGACUUUUAAAUAAUUACAUGAUUUGAGUUCAAACCGGUGUAAACCAGGUUGGUUUCAAUCUUCUUCUUCUUAUUCUCAGUACGAAAGGACCAGAAAAUAUUUUUAUCUUAUUGACAGAAUAAUGUAUUAGAUUUAGAAUCUAAAUAAACUCUAAUCCCUUUUAUAAAUUCACUU